RNAcentral lists this ribosomal RNA (81 nucleotides) under bacterium. The record is from RNAcentral.
AUGCCGAACACAGAAGUUAAGCUCCUUAACGCCGAUGGUACUUGGCGGGUGACUGUCCGGGAGAGUAGGAAGCUGCCGUAA